Molecule: ribosomal RNA, 484 nt
Filed under: uncultured bacterium
Lineage: Bacteria
Description: partial 16S ribosomal RNA
Rfam family: Bacterial small subunit ribosomal RNA
Source: RNAcentral
AUUGAACGCUGGCGGCAUGCUUUACACAUGCAAGUCGAACGGUAACAGGGUGCUUGCACCGCUGACGAGUGGCGAACGGGUGAGUAAUGCAUCGGAAUGUACCGUGUAAUGGGGGAUAGCUCGGCGAAAGCCGGAUUAAUACCGCAUACGCCCUGAGGGGGAAAGUGGGGGACCGAAAGGCCUCACGUUAUACGAGCAGCCGAUGUCUGAUUAGCUAGUUGGUGAGGUAAAGGCUCACCAAGGCGUCGAUCAGUAGCGGGUCUGAGAGGAUGAUCCGCCACACUGGGACUGAGACACGGCCCAGACUCCUACGGGAGGCAGCAGUGGGGAAUUUUGGACAAUGGGCGCAAGCCUGAUCCAGCCAGGCCGCGUGUCUGAAGAAGGCCUUCGGGUUGUAAAGGACUUUUGUCCGGGAGCAAAUCCUAGUGGUUAAUAACCGCUGGGUCUGAGAGUACCGGAAGAAUAAGCACCGGCUAACUACGUG